ACCACAGUGGACGCGCUAAGCGAAGAUAAAAGAGCAGUGACAACUAAAGGCGUGAAGGGGCUGUUUUGUUGGGGAAGAAGUAACAUCAGAGACCCACUAAGGCAUUUCAGGCCAGGAGAAGAGUUGCAUCUUUGCCAUUCCUUCGCCACCAAGUGCUGAAGGACACAACUGCCAAGGGAGGAAGAUGAAGAUGUUCCCAACCUGUAGCUUUCCCAAGCAGCACUCACAGAAAAAGACUGAUCAUCACCAAAGGCACCGGCAAGGGUCUUUACGAGUUCAUCCAUCCGGGUUCAUCCAUCCAACCUUAUUCCCGCUUGGAUAUACUGAAGGAUACAUGGAGGAACGCAGUGAACUGAGGCUAAGGGCUUCGCCAAAGUCACUGGACUACAGAAGCACUGACUGUUA
Non-coding RNA from Struthio camelus australis, 405 nucleotides. Lineage: Eukaryota; Metazoa; Chordata; Aves; Struthioniformes; Struthionidae. The record is from RefSeq and is a predicted model, not a curated record.